RNAcentral lists this long non-coding RNA (1744 nucleotides) under Capsicum annuum. RNAcentral describes it as "long non-coding RNA (CANN_LNC016528)". Lineage: Eukaryota; Viridiplantae; Streptophyta; Magnoliopsida; Solanales; Solanaceae. The record is from RNAcentral.
CUCAUGAAAUCCAAAAAUGGAUUAGCCAAUCGAAAAAAAAUCCCCCUUCAAGCCAAUAGAAAUUGGCCAAAUACGUACCAGAUUCGUACCCCCAUCCCGAGAUUUGCAGAGUUGAACGUUGAGAGGCCACCUUGGCACUGUUCUAGAAGGUUCGAGGUUCUUUGACGUAUGAACUCACGUGGAGGUCACGCAAUCCGUACGAAUUGAAGGGGAAAGGAUGUAUUUGGAUUUUCUCUUCUGAAAAUGGGUCGAUGGGUUAGGGUCUUCGCUGGUUGUGUUGGGAUCGUUGAAGACGGGUCGGGUUAUCGUGAUGGCUGAGUUCACCGUUUCUUUACAGUUACAAACACUAAAAUUAAGUACAAGAAAAGACGAACCAAACAGCAAGAACCAAGGAAAGGAAAUAAAAGGGGAGGCAAAAGGAAGAAAAUAACCAUCAGUUUCAAGGCAAAAGAAAAUAUGUUUUAGAUGAAACAUCAAAGUCACAAUCUUUUACUGUAUAGUAAGCAGAUUCAAUACUGGAAUGAGAAAAAUCAAUAGUAGUCUUCCUAAAAUACUGCAAAGAACCCAUAGCUAAAUUCAAUCGCAAUCAAAUUCUACUAACAACAAACCCUCAUCAACAUUGAGUAAAUAUAGAAAACAAAUCAGAAACGAAAACCCAGAAACUAACAAAACAACUACUCUGACCAUCAGAAUCUAAUAUACUAAGUCCAUCUUUGGCAGCAAACAAUUCUCACACGAUUACGAUUAAGCGAUUAUGACACUAUUAACACAAAAAUAGUGAAAUUGUUCGAAAGCAAUCAAAUUAAACCUCAACACAAUUAUCGGUUCAACAGAACGACAACCUGUAACAAGCUAAUCACACGACUUUCACAGCCAUCCCUGCAAACAAAUGCAAGAAUCAAAACCCUAUCAUGACUAAACACUAUCACGACAGUAUAAUAAAAAGAAAUCAAAAACUAACCGGCCUUUGGGUAGCAAAACGGGACAACGAACUGGUACGGAUAUCACAACCACCAGGAAACUUCUUCACAGUCAAUUGAAACUCUAAUUUAGCUGAUGAACAAGAAUAAAAUUUCUACUCGAGACUGAAUUUUCUCAAAAAUUUUCUCUCUCCUCUCUCUCUAAUUUUUGUUUCUUUUCUCCAAGAAGAUUCCUCGACCCCCUCUUUUUGAACCAAAAGAAAUUUUCUCAACAUAGUUUUCUCAAUCAAUUUCCAAACCCUAGAAUUUCCAGCCUCCAAAGAACCCCAGAAUUUUUGACCUCCUUAACAGUGACCCAAAUGGGUUCUUAUAUAGAACAAAGGAUUGGGGUAUUUUCGGGAUUCAUAAGAAGGAAUUUUGAAUUUCCAAUUCAAAAAUUCCCCCCCUACAACCUGUUUGCGUCAAUCAAUUGUACCCCUUUUUGUUGUUUCUCAUGAAAUCCAAAAAUGGAUUAGCCAAUCGAAAAAAAAUCCCCCUUCAAGCCAAUAGAAAUUGGCCAAAUACGUACCAGAUUCGUACCCCCAUCCCGAGAUUUGCAGAGUUGAACGUUGAGAGGCCACCUUGGCACUGUUCUAGAAGGUUCGAGGUUCUUUGACGUAUGAACUCACGUGGAGGUCACGCAAUCCGUACGAAUUGAAGGGGAAAGGAUGUAUUUGGAUUUUCUCUUCUGAAAAUGGGUCGAUGGGUUAGGGUCUUCGCUGGUUGUGUUGGGAUCGUUGAAGACGGGUCGGGUUAUCGUGAUGGCUGAGUUCACCGGAUUUUGG